This 252-nucleotide ribosomal RNA is filed under the name uncultured bacterium. Its description in RNAcentral is "partial 16S ribosomal RNA". It matches the Rfam family "Bacterial small subunit ribosomal RNA", at positions 524 to 776 of the family's 1533-position model. The record is from RNAcentral.
UACGGAGGAUGCGAGCGUUAUCCGGAUUUAUUGGGUUUAAAGGGUGCGUAGGCGGACUGUCAAGUCAGCGGUAAAAUUGAGAGGCUCAACCUCUUCCCGCCGUUGAAACUGGUGGUCUUGAGUGGAUGAGAAGUACGCGGAAUGCGUGGUGUAGCGGUGAAAUGCAUAGAUAUCACGCAGAACUCCGAUUGCGAAGGCAGCGUACCGGCAUCCAACUGACGCUGAGGCACGAAAGCGUAGGGAUCAAACAGG